RNAcentral lists this ribosomal RNA (254 nucleotides) under uncultured bacterium. Its description in RNAcentral is "partial 16S ribosomal RNA". It matches the Rfam family "Bacterial small subunit ribosomal RNA", at positions 524 to 776 of the family's 1533-position model. The record is from RNAcentral.
UACAGAGGCCUCGAGCGUUAGGCGGAAUCACUGGGCUUAAAGCGUGUGUAGGCGGACUUCUAAGUACCUUGUGAAAUCCCACGGCUCACCCGUGGAACUGCUCGGUAUACUGGUCGUCUUGAGCCUUCUAGGGGGCGAGUGGAACAAAUGGUGGAGCGGUGAAAUGCGUAGAUAUCAUUUGGAACGCCAAUGGUGAAAACAACUCGCUGGGGAAGUGCUGACGCUGAGACACGAAAGCCAGGGGAGCGAACGGG